This 745-nucleotide ribosomal RNA is filed under the name uncultured bacterium. RNAcentral describes it as "bacterial SSU rRNA". It matches the Rfam family "Bacterial small subunit ribosomal RNA", at positions 33 to 773 of the family's 1533-position model. The record is from RNAcentral.
ACGCUGGCGGCAGGCCUAACACAUGCAAGUCGAGCGGUAGAGAGAAGCUUGCUUCUCUUGAGAGCGGCGGACGGGUGAGUAAUGCCUAGGAAUCUGCCUGGUAGUGGGGGAUAACGUUCGGAAACGGACGCUAAUACCGCAUACGUCCUACGGGAGAAAGCAGGGGACCUUCGGGCCUUGCGCUAUCAGAUGAGCCUAGGUCGGAUUAGCUAGUUGGUGGGGUAAUGGCUCACCAAGGCGACGAUCCGUAACUGGUCUGAGAGGAUGAUCAGUCACACUGGAACUGAGACACGGUCCAGGCUCCUACGGGAGGCAGCAGUGGGGAAUAUUGGACAAUGGGCGAAAGCCUGAUCCAGCCAUGCCGCGUGUGUGAAGAAGGUCUUCGGAUUGUAAAGCACUUUAAGUUGGGAGGAAGGGCAGUUGCCUAAUACGUAACUGUUUUGACGUUACCGACAGAAUAAGCACCGGCUAACUCUGUGCCAGCAGCCGCGGUAAUACAGAGGGUGCAAGCGUUAAUCGGAAUUACUGGGCGUAAAGCGCGCGUAGGUGGUUCGCUAAGUUGGAUGUGAAAUCCCCGGGCUCAACCUGGGAACUGCAUUCAAAACUGACGAGCUAGAGUAUGGUAGAGGGUGGUGGAAUUUCCUGUGUAGCGGUGAAAUGCGUAGAUAUAGGAAGGAACACCAGUGGCGAAGGCGACCACCUGGACUGAUACUGACACUGAGGUGCGAAAGCGUGGGGAGCAAAC